CAAAAUGGGUUUCUUAGAUCGUACCCACGUUACUUGGAUAACUGUGGUAAUUCUAGAGCUAAUACAUGCCGACAGAGUUCCGACCAACUGUACGGAUUUGGCGGCAGUUUCGGCUGUCGUCGCCGUACGGUUCGGAAGGAACGCUUUUAUUAGAUCAAAACCGGCUAAACGGCGGUUUCGCUUUCGGGCGUCUCCGUCGUAAGCGGCCCGCGCAAAGAUUUGGUGACUCUGAAUAACUUCGAGCUGAUCGCACGGUCUUUGUACCGGCGACGUAUCUUUCAAAUGUCUGCCUUAUCAACUGUCGACGGUAGGUUCGACGCCUACCGUGGUGGUAACGGGUAACGGGGAAUCAGGGUUCGAUUCCGGAGAGGGAGCCUGAGAAACGGCUACCACAUCCAAGGAAGGCAGCAGGCGCGCAAAUUACCCACUCCCAGCUCGGGGAGGUAGUGACGAAAAAUAACGAUACGGGACUCAUUCGAGGCCCCGUAAUCGGAAUAAGUACACUACA
This 508-nucleotide ribosomal RNA is filed under the name Planococcus ficus (vine mealybug). Its description in RNAcentral is "bacterial SSU rRNA". It matches the Rfam family "Eukaryotic small subunit ribosomal RNA", at positions 107 to 527 of the family's 1831-position model. The record is from RNAcentral. Lineage: Eukaryota; Metazoa; Arthropoda; Insecta; Hemiptera; Pseudococcidae.